CCCUUAGAUGUUCUGGGCCGCACGCGUGCUACACUGAGUAAUUCAAUGGGUAAGGGAACGCUAGAGCAUUACCUAAUCUUGAAAUUUGCUCGUGAUGGGGCUCGACGGUUGCAAUUUUCCGUCGUGAACGAGGAAUACCUUGUAGGCGCAUGUCAUCAUCAUGCGCCGAAUACGUCCCUGCCCUUUGUACACACCGCCCGUCGCUCCUACCGAUUGAGUGAUCCGGUGAGGCUCUGGGACCUGGACGGAAAGAGCGUUUCGCUUGUUCUGUUUGGGAAACUUGGUCGAACCUUAUCAUUUAGAGGAAGGAGAAGUCGUAACA
RNAcentral lists this ribosomal RNA (322 nucleotides) under uncultured eukaryote. RNAcentral's name for it is "partial 18S ribosomal RNA". It matches the Rfam family "Eukaryotic small subunit ribosomal RNA", at positions 1470 to 1796 of the family's 1831-position model. The record is from RNAcentral.